Molecule: ribosomal RNA, 254 nt
Filed under: uncultured bacterium
Lineage: Bacteria
Description: partial 16S ribosomal RNA
Rfam family: Bacterial small subunit ribosomal RNA
Source: RNAcentral
UACGUAGGGUCCGAGCGUUGUCCGGAGUUACUGGGCGUAAAGCGCGCGCAGGCGGCGGUGCUGGCCCGGCGUGAAAGCCCCCGGCUCAACCGGGGAGGGUCGUCGGGGACCGCACCGCUUGAGGGCGGUAGGGGCUGGUGGAAUGCCUGGUGUAGUGGUGAAAUGCGUAGAGAUCAGGCGGAACACCCAUGGCGAAGGCGGCCAGCUGGGCCGUCCCCUGACGCUGAGGCGCGAAGGCGUGGGGAGCGAACAGG